Molecule: microRNA precursor, 87 nt
Filed under: Chitinophaga japonensis
Lineage: Bacteria; Pseudomonadati; Bacteroidota; Chitinophagia; Chitinophagales; Chitinophagaceae
Description: microRNA mir-598
Source: RNAcentral
GAAGAAAGAAGAGGGAGAAAGAAGAAGGGAAAAAGGAGAAAAGAUAUGCCCCUUUCUCCUUUUUCCCUUCUUCUUUCUCCAUUUAAA